UAAGGAAUAUUGGUCAAUGGACGAAAGUCUGAACCAGCCAUGCCGCGUGGAGGAUGAAGGUCCUCUGGAUUGUAAACUUCUUUUAUAUGGGACGAAAAAAGGGCUUUCUAGCUCGUCUGACGGUACCAUAUGAAUAAGCACCGGCUAACUCCGUGCCAGCAGCCGCGGUAAUACGGAGGGUGCAAGCGUUAUCCGGAUUCACUGGGUUUAAAGGGUGCGUAGGUGGGUUGGUAAGUCAGUGGUGAAAUCCCCGAGCUUAACUUGGGAACUGCCAUUGAUACUAUCAGUCUUGAAUACCGUGGAGGUCAGCGGAAUAUGUCAUGUAGCGGUGAAAUGCUUAGAUAUGACAUAGAACACCAAUUGCGAAGGCAGCUGGCUACUCGGAUAUUGACACUGAGGCACGAAAGCGUGGGGAUCAAACAGGAUUAGAUACCCUGGUAGUCCACGCCCUAAACUAUGGAUACUCGACAUUUGCGAUACACAGUAAGUGUCUGAGCGAAAGCAUUAAGU
This 510-nucleotide ribosomal RNA is filed under the name bacterium enrichment culture SBR_L_B16. Its description in RNAcentral is "bacterial SSU rRNA". It matches the Rfam family "Bacterial small subunit ribosomal RNA", at positions 355 to 865 of the family's 1533-position model. The record is from RNAcentral.